Molecule: long non-coding RNA, 388 nt
Filed under: Pan troglodytes (chimpanzee)
Lineage: Eukaryota; Metazoa; Chordata; Mammalia; Primates; Hominidae
Description: long non-coding RNA NONPTRT002613
Source: RNAcentral
AAGAGAAAGCGGGAAAAAUAAUGGUAAGGAGGACAUGUAGAGGAGGAGAAUGAGAGAGCAAAGGAGGGGAGUUAGAAGAGGAACGAGAAGUGGCCAAAAGAAGACAAGAAAAAGAGUGCACAUAGGAAAGCAUUGCAACUAGGAACAAAAUGCAAAGCUAUUAAAGUAACAGGUUGAAAAAUAAAUACAAGGUAUGCACCCAAACCUGCCAUUAUCAGAAGCAACAUAAGCAGUCAGAUAGCUAGAAGCAAAAAGGUAAGAAAAUUACAUAUCCAUAAAAUGAGAUUUCAAGUGCAUUUUGAAAUCACAAUGGAGUACCCUCAAUCAAUAAUAAUAUCAAAUUUUAAGAAAGGCCCCAAAUGAGCAAUUUUAUAAUUGUAGCAUAAGU